This 991-nucleotide long non-coding RNA is filed under the name Homo sapiens (human). Its description in RNAcentral is "HSALNT0365061". Lineage: Eukaryota; Metazoa; Chordata; Mammalia; Primates; Hominidae. The record is from RNAcentral.
GCAACUCUCCCUUCCUGAGAUCAAUGGCCUAAGAUCAAUAGCUAUAAUGCAGAAAAUUAAUCCAUAUUCAUUAGAAUUGAAUUCAGCAAAUGAUAUUAUUAAUAUAAAAAUUCCUUUGGAAGUAUACGGAAAAGAAUUAAAGAGAAAAUUGUUCUAAUGUCACUACUAUCUGCCAAGCCACAGAUUUAAGAAAUUCAGGCAAGGAGAACAGUUUAUUUUCAAAGAAAGCUUGAAAAGUCCUUUAGGGGUAUAGCUACGUUUGCCAUUAAGAUGCAGCAGGUGUGGAGAUGGAACAGAUGCUUUCCUCCCUAUGGAUUUGGAGGUCUAGGAAGUAGAAUUGACUAACCCACUUAUGAGUCACCUCCAGUCCUAGAAUCCUAGGACUGCCAUGCUUCUCCCUAACAUCACGAGGAGUCACAGCUGUGUUUGAGGGAUAUCAACCACAAUCACUAACUCAGAAAACAGCCUGGACUCCUGAAGACCAGUCUGUCUCCUGAACCCCACAUCCCAAACCAUCAUGCACUCACAAACUAAGAAGAGAUGUCACAGGAACCAUUGUUAGAAAUCAAAGGGGCCGGGUGUGGUGGCUCACUCCUGCAAUCCCCACAGUUUGAAAGGCCGAGACAGGUGGAUCACCUGAGGUCAGGAAUUCCAGACCAGCCUGGCCAACAUGGUGAAACCUCGUCUCUACUAAAAAUACAAAAAAUUAGCUGGGCUUGGUGGUGCAUGCCUGUAAUCCAAGCUGCUCGGGAGGCUGAGGCAGGAGAGUCACUUGAACCUGGGAGGCGGAGGUUGCAGUCAGUCAAGAUCCCAUCACCGCACUCCAGCCUGGGCAACAGAGUGAGACUCUGUCUCAAAAAAAGAAAAAACUCAAAGAGAAGGCACAAGCGUGGCCAGAUGAAAGUUCAUGGGAAUGCAAGCAGAGGGCCUGAUUCCAAUUUUUACUUCUUCUGUUACUAGUUGUGGGAAACUGAUAUAAUUCCUUUGAGGC